GAUUGAACGCUGGCGGCAGGCCUACCACAUGCAAGUCGAGCGGAUGAAGGGAGCUUGCUCCUGGAUUCAGCGGCGGACGGGUGAGUAAUGCCUAGGAAUCUGCCUGGUAGUGGGAGAUAACGUCCGGAAACGGGCGCUAAUACCGCAUACGUCCUGAGGGAGAAAGUGGGGGAUCUUCGGACCUCACGCUAUCAGAUGAGCCUAGGUCGGAUUAGCUAGUUGGUGGGGUAAAGGCCUACCAAGGCGACGAUCCGUAACUGGUCUGAGAGGAUGAUCAGUCACACUGGAACUGAGACACGGUCCAGACUCCUACGGGAGGCAGCAGUGGGGAAUAUUGGACAAUGGGCGAAAGCCUGAUCCAGCCAUGCCGCGUGUGUGAAGAAGGUCUUCGGAUUGUAAAGCACUUUAAGUUGGGAGGAAGGGCAGUAAGUUAAUACCUUGCUGUUUUGACGUUACCAACAGAAUAAGCACCGGCUAACUUCGU
This 484-nucleotide ribosomal RNA is filed under the name uncultured bacterium. RNAcentral describes it as "partial 16S ribosomal RNA". It matches the Rfam family "Bacterial small subunit ribosomal RNA", at positions 27 to 506 of the family's 1533-position model. The record is from RNAcentral.